Molecule: ribosomal RNA, 339 nt
Filed under: uncultured Pseudomonadota bacterium
Lineage: Bacteria; Pseudomonadati; Pseudomonadota
Description: bacterial SSU rRNA
Rfam family: Bacterial small subunit ribosomal RNA
Source: RNAcentral
AACAAACGCUGGCGGCGUGCCUAACACAUGCAAGUCGUACGAGAAAGGGUCCUUCGGGACCUGAGUAAAGUGGCGCACGGGUGAGUAACGCGUGGAUAAUCUACCCCUCAGUUGGGAAUAACUCAUCGAAAGGUGGGCUAAUACCGAAUAACACUGCCAGACCCAUGUUGAGCAGUCAAAGGGCGCCUAUGCUUGCAAGCGCUCGCUGAAGGAUGAGUCCGCGUACCAUUAGCUAGUUGGUAGGGUAAUGGCCUACCAAGGCGACGAUGGUUAGCUGGUCUGAGAGGAUGAUCAGCCACACUGGAACUGAGACACGGUCCAGACUCCUACGGGAGGCUA